CAGUCGCCGCGGUAAAACGUAGGUGGCAAGCGUUGUCCGGAAUUAUUGGGCGUAAAGGGCUCGCAGGCGGUUUCUUAAGUCUGAUGUGAAAGCCCCCGGCUCAACCGGGGAGGGUCAUUGGAAACUGGGAAACUUGAGUGCAGAAGAGGAGAGUGGAAUUCCACGUGUAGCGGUGAAAUGCGUAGAGAUGUGGAGGAACACCAGUGGCGAAGGCGGCUCUCUGGUCUGUAGCUGACGCUGAGGAGCGAAAGCGUGGGGAGCGAACAGGAUUAGAUACCCCAGUAGUCCCUGUCUCUUAUAC
RNAcentral lists this ribosomal RNA (301 nucleotides) under uncultured bacterium. RNAcentral describes it as "partial 16S ribosomal RNA". It matches the Rfam family "Bacterial small subunit ribosomal RNA", at positions 509 to 807 of the family's 1533-position model. The record is from RNAcentral.